AGUGAACGCUGGCGGUAGGCCUAACACAUGCAAGUCGAACGGCAGCACAGUAAGAGCUUGCUCUUACGGGUGGCGAGUGGCGGACGGGUGAGGAAUACAUCGGAAUCUACUUUUUCGUGGGGGUUAACGUAGGGAAACUUUCGUUAAUACCGCAUACGACCUACGGGUGAAAUCAGGGGAUUUUCGGACCUUGCGCGUUUGAAUGAGCCGUUUCCGGGUUAGCUAGUUGGCGGGGUAAAGGCCCACCAAGGCGACGAUCCGUAGCUGGUCUGAGGGGAAGAUCGGCCAAAAUGGAGGUGAGACACGGUCCAGAUUCCUAAGGGAGGAAGCAGUGGGGAAUAUUGGAAAAGGGGCGCAAGCCUGAACCAGCCAUACCGCGUGGGUGAAGAAGGCCUUGGGGUUGUAAAGCCCUUUUGUUGGGAAAGAAAAGCAGCAGGUUAAUACCCCGCUGUUCUGACGGUACCGAAAGAGUAAGAACGGGCUAACAUCGU
This 491-nucleotide ribosomal RNA is filed under the name uncultured bacterium. RNAcentral's name for it is "partial 16S ribosomal RNA". It matches the Rfam family "Bacterial small subunit ribosomal RNA", at positions 29 to 506 of the family's 1533-position model. The record is from RNAcentral.